UUGUCUUCUUUCUGUGGCUCAUUGACAAAAUAUUCCAAAAUGUUUAUCAUAUUUUCCCUGGUUCCAUAUGUUGCACUUUAAUUUUACCUCAAUUAUUUGAAGUAACUUUUGUGUGUAUGUUUGCUCUUGAUUUCAAGACAUUUGUGCCUGAGCCAUUGUUCUACAGUAUGUCAGUUGUUUUGUGCAUGAAAACCGCUCACUUAAUAUUAAAAUAAAGAC
Molecule: long non-coding RNA, 219 nt
Filed under: Mytilus galloprovincialis (Mediterranean mussel)
Lineage: Eukaryota; Metazoa; Mollusca; Bivalvia; Mytilida; Mytilidae
Source: RNAcentral